GCCAGGCACCAGGGCGGACGGACCCCUGCCACGCUCUUACUCUCUGGCCCGGCCGCUCUCACACACACACACUCUGGCUCUCCCACUACCUCCGUUUCGCUAAUUAAUGAAGCUAGUUUGUCAGGUGCAUUAGGUGUGGAACUCAGGUGUGUAGGUGAGGUGGUCAGGUGUGGUGAGGAGCUGGUGGCGGGUGUGUGGUACAUAAAAAAAGAUAUCUUACAGUGUUGUGGAGUGUGAUAGAGAAGAGUUAACUAUCAGGGCAGGUGUUUGAGUACCGGCGCGGAGUGUGAGCCAGACCACAGCGCCAACUGAAGUCACUACUACCUUGUGGGAGGAACACUGGUAUGUGACUCCUGAUAGUAACUGUCGAGACUUUAAGGAACAUUACUGACGAAGAAGUAGGAGGUGAGAGCAUUGACCAGCGGCGUCACCACCAACAGUUGAACACACCACCCCAUACCUCGGGGCAGUGGGUCACCCUCCCUCUGUCUCUACUCACACACACACUUCCUUCCCUCAGCCUCUUCUCAACUCGCCUCCAUCAUCUUCCACAUUUAUUAUCCAUUAUUAUUAUGUUAAAACCAACACUAUAAAAUACUAUAUAGUAUUUCGAUUAGUUUAUUCUCUGUAAUGUAAUUUUCAAAUAAUAUCUGUUAACAAAUACAAAUAAUUUUCUGACGGUAGAAAUAUUUGGUAAAUUAAUUUCCAUUUAAUAGUUUACUCUAGUGUGAGUUGUGUCUGCCUCGGUACUCUGCCGUGAGACUCCCUUAAACACACACCAAUAUUACCAAGCUGUUACCAUCUCCCAAACUGUCUAGAAAAACUUCAAACACUCUCCUCUGACAAGUUGUAUACACUCCCCAAGUAACCCAACAAAGUUUUAUAAACUCAUUACAUCAGACUCUCUGAAUCCUAGUCCAGGUUCCAAAGCUUUUCUCACAAGACUCGAACUUUCCAUUUGGCUAAACUUUACAUUUUCUCACGUACGACACAGCUGACAACCCUUCUUCCUGAUCACCUGGUGACACCUUCACCCCAUGGCCUCCUCGUCCCCUGCCCUUGGCGUUAUGGCCGCCCCGCCAUAAACUCCACUAUACUCACCUCUGUUACAAC
Long non-coding RNA from Homarus americanus (American lobster), 1113 nucleotides. RefSeq lists it as uncharacterized. NCBI's taxonomy places the organism in Eukaryota, Metazoa, Arthropoda, Malacostraca, Decapoda, Nephropidae. The record is from RefSeq and is a predicted model, not a curated record. The transcript is spliced from 2 exons.